GGGACUUUAGCUUAACGGUAGAGCGUCAGUGAGAUUAAACUGAAGAACCGGUGUUCGACUCCUGGGGGUUCCA
Xylariaceae sp. FL0594 is the source of this 73-nucleotide non-coding RNA. NCBI's taxonomy places the organism in Eukaryota, Fungi, Ascomycota, Sordariomycetes, Xylariales, Xylariaceae. The record is from the annotation of a GenBank genome assembly.